AAUUUUUCUCUCCAUAAUGUUUAAAUUUUUAAAAAGCUUUUCGUUAAAGUACAGUGUUUCUUUUAGUUAAAAAAUCUGCAGAAGUGGGAUAAACUUCCUUUCAUCCCAGAUAUUUUCAUUUCCUGUUCUUUACAGAAACUUGGUUGAUACAAUGGAAAAAUCAUUGUCUUUCUAGUAAAAGGACCUGGGUUCAAAUCCUGGUUCUGAUACUCAUUACCUGUGUGACCAUGGGCUGAUCACUUACCUUUCCUGGGUCUCAGUUUCUUCAACUGUAUGCAUCAGGAUCACCAUGGAAGUCGAGAUGCUUUCCAGAGAUUCCACCAAUCACUAAUAUCACUUAAUUGGGAAUAUUUGGAAUUGUUUAGAAGGAAUCCAGGGAAGAAGGAGAGAGAAAGCAGGAUGAAGAAGUGGAAAGUUGGAAUUGCCCACCAUCUUGACACCAGGUGAAAUUAAAUACAUCCUGAGUUUUCAUGAAAUCUUUGGAGCAAAUUAAGUGAAACCACAGGCUGUCUAGGAAGGGAGCCACUGAUUGCUUUCUUCAGCAUGUUACCUUACCCUGUUAAAAUUUAACUGAGCCACUCUGAUGUUGCCUCCAACCACUUUGGUAUUUCUCUACCAUCCUCUGUGUUUCUCUUAUAUAUGAAGUAAAAUUUUGCAAUAGGCAUCGUGUCAUAAAGUUGGCUUUUCACAAGAUUGUUUCCAUAGAACAGCUGAAGUACUUAGGUAAGUGGGGGAAUUGAAAGUGAAUUCUAUUCUUACACUAUCUUUCAUAUCCAUCCUCUUUUCUCCAUUCAUAUGGCAACUAACCCUAGUCAGGUCGUAUCACCUCUAAACUGUGGCAAAAGCUUCCCAGUUGGUUUUACUAUUCUAUUUACUGUCCUUUGAUAUCAUACACCAUUUUCAGACACUAUUUUAGGAAGAAACUUUAGAAAGAAAGUGUGUCUGUGGAAAAGGUAAAUACUUUCUUUAAAAAUGUUUCCAGGGGCAGCUAGGUGUCACAGUGAAUAGAGCUCUGGUCUUGGAGUUAGGAGGACUUGAGUUCAAAUCCAGCCUGAGAUAGUUAAUACUUACUAGUUUUGUGACCCUGGGCAAGUCACUUAACCCUGAUCACCUCACCAAAAAGCAAAAAGAAAAAAGUUUCCAAAAAUUAUAAUAGCUGUUGCCAACUUGGUAAAAAAAUAAAUCCAUCUAGCAAAUGGCUAUGUAUUCA
Molecule: long non-coding RNA, 1210 nt
Filed under: Phascolarctos cinereus (koala)
Lineage: Eukaryota; Metazoa; Chordata; Mammalia; Diprotodontia; Phascolarctidae
Description: lncRNA (ENSPCIG00000036629.1)
Source: RNAcentral